Molecule: unclassified non-coding RNA, 253 nt
Filed under: uncultured Planctomycetia bacterium
Lineage: Bacteria; Pseudomonadati; Planctomycetota; Planctomycetia
Description: contains 16S-23S intergenic spacer region
Rfam family: Bacterial small subunit ribosomal RNA
Source: RNAcentral
GACGAACCGUGCGAACGUUAUUCGGAAUCACUGGGCUUAAAGCGCGCGUAGGCGGCGUCAUAAGUUGGAGGUGAAAUCCUGCGGCUCAACCGUAGAAUUGCCCCCAAAACUGUGAUGCUUGAGGAAGGUAGGGGCUUGUGGAACUCUCGGUGGAGCGGUGAAAUGUGUUGAGAUCGGGAGGAACGCCAGCGGCGAAAGCGACAAGCUGGAUCUUUUCUGACGCUGAGGCGCGAAAGCUAGGGUAGCGAACGGG